UCCGUAAGAUCUAUACAGAUCAAGUUGAUCUGUAAGAAACAUACAGAUCAAGUUGAUCCGUAAGAAACAUACAAAUCAAGUUGAUCCAUUUGAGUCAUACAGAUCAACUUGAGUGAAGGACAUUUUCGCUCAUUCACUUAAAAUACUGGGUGCACCUAACAUCACCCUUGUCAAGAUCUGAUAAAAGAAUGCAAAUAGGGUGUUGCUAGGUG
RNAcentral lists this long non-coding RNA (212 nucleotides) under Glycine max (soybean). RNAcentral describes it as "long non-coding RNA (GMAX_LNC003449)". The record is from RNAcentral. Lineage: Eukaryota; Viridiplantae; Streptophyta; Magnoliopsida; Fabales; Fabaceae.